Molecule: ribosomal RNA, 508 nt
Filed under: uncultured bacterium
Lineage: Bacteria
Description: partial 16S ribosomal RNA
Rfam family: Bacterial small subunit ribosomal RNA
Source: RNAcentral
GACGAACGCUGGCGGCGUGCCUAAUACAUGCAAGUCGAACGCUUCUUUCCUCCCGAGUGCUUGCCCUCAAUUGGAAAGAGGAGUGGCGGACGGGUGAGUAACACGUGGGUAACCUACCCAUCAGAGGGGGAUAACACUUGGAAACAGGUGCUAAUACCGCAUAACAGUUUAUGCCGCAUGGCAUAAGAGUGAAAGGCGCUUUCGGGUGUCGUUGAUGGAUGGACCCGCGGUGCAUUAGCUAGUUGGUGAGGUAACGGCUCACCAAGGCCACGAUGCAUAGCCGACCUGAGAGGGUGAUCGGCCACACUGGGACUGAGACACGGCCCAGACUCCUACGGGAGGCAGCAGUAGGGAAUCUUCGGCAAUGGACGAAAGUCUGACCGAGCAACGCCGCGUGAGUGAAGAAGGUUUUCGGAUCGUAAAACUCUGUUGUUAGAGAAGAACAAGGACGUUAGUAACUGAACGUCCCCUGACGGUAUCUAACCAGAAAGCCACGGCUAACUACGUG